GAUGAACGCUGGCGGCGUGCCUAAUACAUGCAAGUCGAGCGAACAGACGAGGAGCUUGCUCCUCUGACGUUAGCGGCGGACGGGUGAGUAACACGUGGAUAACCUACCUAUAAGACUGGGAUAACUUCGGGAAACCGGAGCUAAUACCGGAUAAUAUAGUGAACCGCAUGGUUCAAUAGUGAAAGACGGUUUUGCUGUCACUUAUAGAUGGAUCCGCGCCGCAUUAGCUAGUUGGUAAGGUAACGGCUUACCAAGGCAACGAUGCGUAGCCGACCUGAGAGGGUGAUCGGCCACACUGGAACUGAGACACGGUCCAGACUCCUACGGGAGGCAGCAGUAGGGAAUCUUCCGCAAUGGGCGAAAGCUUGACGGAGCAACGCCGCGUGAGUGAUGAAGGUCUUCGGAUCGUAAAACUCUGUUAUUAGGGAAGAACAAAUGUGUAAGUAACUAUGCACGUCUUGACGGUACCUAAUCAGAAAGCAACGGCUAACUACGUG
RNAcentral lists this ribosomal RNA (497 nucleotides) under uncultured bacterium. RNAcentral describes it as "partial 16S ribosomal RNA". It matches the Rfam family "Bacterial small subunit ribosomal RNA", at positions 28 to 507 of the family's 1533-position model. The record is from RNAcentral.